AGCAGAGAGCAGUGAAGGGAUGCAGAGGAGAAUGGAGGGAGCCAAAUAACCCCUCUGUCUGUGUACUCUUUCACUCUUUCCUUUCAUUUCUUUCUCCCUCCUGUUUGCAGGCGGACAGUCCUGAAGAUGACUCACUGUGGAAUUUUUUUCCAACUCAAAUUCUUUGCAAUUUCUCUCUCUCUCCCUCUCUCUCUUUCAUUUUUUAAUCCAGUAAUGCCACAGGGUGUCCUAGAGGGCCCUGGAGAAUUUCUGUAGAGAGGCAUUUGAGAGAGAGCUGAAAAAAAGAAGAGUGGGACCGGGAAAAGAGGCUGAAAGAAGAGAAGCAGGAACAGGAGGAAAGGAAUGUGGCUCUGAGGACGGAAGAGCACCUGCUGCCCUUCACAACCUAUUUCCUGGGCUAAAGAAAUGAUAGCGAGGAAAAGGCCACUGAAGAGAAGAAAAAGACUGCACAGAGAAUCUCUUUUCCAACCCUGACAUGAUGUACAGUACUUCUAAAUGAAGUGAAUUCUUCUCUGUGAUGCCACAUGGAAGUCAGUUUUGGGGGAAAGUUUAAACUCCUCUUUUUUACAUUCCACUCACCAAGCCAUGCUGCAUGCUUCAAGUCUUAUACUCUCUGUCUGUGUCACACAUGAUCGCACACAGAAGAUGUGGAAAUGCAGGUAAGUGUGUUUUUUCAUCUUGCUUCCUAUUUUUGGCCGCAGCCCACCAUCAACCUUUGUAAUGAAGGAAAUUUAUAUAAAAAUAUACUAGAAUAUGACAACUUAUGACAGUAAAGUUCAACAAGUGGUAAAUAAGGUUAUAACCAGGUAGAUUUUUAAGUUUAAAUGUUGUUGGUCUUGGUGACCACUGACCAUACCUUUACCUUCAUUGCUUAUUUUGACUGCAAUCAAUUUGAACCAAAAUCUCAGCAGGUUCUUGUGUAGCCUAAUAGCGUUUCUUCAUUAGCACAAUGAAUUUGACUAUUCUCCUAUAACAGCAUGUCCAAAAAUGUUUUUUUUUUCUUAUACCACAGCAAUUUGUGAAUUGGUAGCAAUUUUUUAUUUAUGUAAAAAAAUGUCUUACAUUUAUAGUUACAUAUGGAAACAAGUUAGUACCUGUUAUCACUUAGGUUAUAGCAGAUAUAAACAGUCAAACCCUUCUUCUAUAAAUUCUAAAUAAAAAUCUCCUUAUAGAAAGCUUCACUAUUUCAAUGAUUAUAAAUUUUUUUGUUUUUUCCCAUCCAAUCCAAUCCAUUUAUUAUUAAUCAUAGUUAUUACUAUAGAAGUGAUAACAUAUUAGAAUGAGAGCAUUCACAUAAAACCAUGAUUUGCCUUGCAGUUGGCACUACUGACAAACUGCUGUUAUAGGAAAUUAAUCAACACUUUUUAACCAAUCGGAUUUUGAGAAUUCAACAGCACUUUUGUCUAAAAACAACGUUUGCAAACUAAAAAUAAACUUUUAUAGCUAGUCUACUCUUACCAAACACAACAUUAAUGUGAUUCAUCUAUGUACAAAAAAAGUUUACCUUCAUCCAUAACUAUCUCCUCUUCUCCAUGUCAUGGUUUUAUUCCGAUUAAACAACAAAAAGGUUCAUCAUAGCAGUGUCCAUCAGCUGAGCCCUUUAAAGACAUCCAUUUAGAAGGGACCUUUGAAGUGUGCUACUUCACAUAUUAAUGAAACAUGCCCUAUAUAAUGUCCAUAUGAAUACUUAAAUUCUCAGGAAGGAUUGGAUCAGAGAUAAUAGACUCAUAGGCAGCCAGAGAUUUGCAUAGGAAAGGCAAUUAUGGUUGUGUUACUAACAUCAGGAUCUGGGCUUAAUGCACAGAUGGAGAAGUUUGGCCGGCUUUCAAGAUUAAAACAUCACCUGUUUUUUUGGAGAAAACAACAAUGAAUUUAAUUAGAGAAAGAAAAUGUGAUCAUAUUUGUUGAAGAGCUUUAGCCAUAACAAUAGUUUCCCACCAAUUACAAUUCAUUUCAUAGACAAAAAGCAGCCCUUUCUUGUCAACACAAUUUCUUGCCAGAAAGCUUUUUCUUUUCACAAAAGCAUCACUUUCCCAUAUCAACUGGUCUUUAGCUUCUGUAAUUACAUAACACAGAUCUGCAAAUAACAUGAAAAGUCUGCUGGUAAUGUCACAUCUGAGUGAAUAUUUACACACUUUACAGACUGCAAAAAAUGUCUUAAAUUGAGAAAAUGUCAUGAAGGAAAACACUAAAUUUAACAAUCAUCCUUGUUAGACCAAUUUCAAUCAAGUUAUUGACUGGGAAAUAAUUAGAUUUCUUCAAAUAUUCUUUUCUGUAAAUAUUCUUUAGGUUUGUUCAGAUAUUCUUCCUCUGAUAUCUCAGGAUUUGAUCUGCUAAUCUGAGCACAAGAAUGUUCUAAUUGGCUAAAUUCAUUUAAUAUGAUCAUCAGUUCUGAAAAAAAUAUAUUUAAACUAUAUGAAUGUUAGCACUAAAUACAAAAUUCUUACCAUUAUCAAGGUCUUUAGCAAUUACUCUGAAGCCACUUGUGCAAUAGCUCAUGAAUAUUAUAAUAGGAUUUUGGAGCACUGUAUAAUAUCAGAUUUCUAAAAAGAAAAUAACAAUAAGUCUUAUGUUCAAACUCCUUCACCAUGUUUCCUUUGAAUGUGUGUGUGCAUACAAAUGAUGUGUGUGUUCUGUUCUUCCCAAUCUGCUGAAAUGAUCAACGACCUGUAUUUCUCACAGGACAUAUGCUCACUAUCCACUUCAAUAGGAACACCUGUACACCUGAACAUUCAUGUAACUAUCCAAUCAACCAAUCAUGUGGCAGCAGCACAGUGCAUAAAAUCAAGCAGAUAGAGGUCAAGAGCUUUAGUUAAUGUUCACAUCAAACAUCAGAAUUGGGAAAAUAUGUGACUCCAGUUACUUUGACCACGGCAUGAUUGUUGGUGCCAGAAACUGGACAGGCAAAGCAAAGUUUUUCCAAUCUUCAACGGUCUAAUUUCUGUGAUCAUGUGCCCACUGUAGCCUCAGAUUCCUGUUCUUGGCGGAGGAGUGGAACUCAAUGUGGUCUUUAGCUGUUGCAGCCCAUCUGUCUCACGGUUCAGCAUAUUGUGCAUUCUGAAUCUUCGGCAUCAUUCAGAACUGCCGCUCACUGGAUGUUUUUUUGUUUUUCGCCCCUUCUGUGUAAAUGCCAGAGACUGUUGUUUGUAAAAAAAAUCACAGGAGAUUAGCAGUUUCUGAAAUACUCAAACCAGCCUCUCUGACACCAAUAACCACGCUACAGUCAAAGUCACUUUUCCCCAUUCUGAUGUUUGUGGUGAACAUUAACUGAAGCUCUUGACCUGUAUCUGUAUGAGUUUGACGAUGUUGCUGCCACAUGACUUUAUGAUUGGAUAACUGCAUGCAUUAGGUGUACAGGUAUUCCUAAUAAAGUGGUCAGUGAGUGUGUGUAUAUAUAUAAAACAACAUUAUUUUAUUCGUUGUGCUAGAUUUUGCAUUAAGCCUUCUUUAACUUGUUUCAUUUUGCCUGAUGGUUUUGUGGCUACUGUUUGUUGGACUCCUGUGCAUCAGCACUUGCAUAGCUUAACACUGUUUUGUUGUUUCUCUCUCUCUCUCUCUCUCUCUCUCGCUCUUUCUCUCUCUGCUUUUCCUACUAUCUUGAACUUGUUUCUGGUCAGUUGAUAAAAACUAUUUUUCAGCGUCA
This is a long non-coding RNA of Pangasianodon hypophthalmus (striped catfish), 3643 nucleotides long. RefSeq lists it as uncharacterized. The transcript is spliced from 3 exons. NCBI's taxonomy places the organism in Eukaryota, Metazoa, Chordata, Actinopteri, Siluriformes, Pangasiidae. The record is from RefSeq and is a predicted model, not a curated record.